GACGAACGCUGGCGGCGUGCUUAACACAUGCAAGUCGAACGGAAAGGCCCUGCUUUUGUGGGGUGCUCGAGUGGCGAACGGGUGAGUAACACGUGAGUAACCUGCCCUUGACUUUGGGAUAACUUCAGGAAACUGGGGCUAAUACCGGAUAGGAGCUCCUGCUGCAUGGUGGGGGUUGGAAAGUUUCGGCGGUUGGGGAUGGACUCGCGGCUUAUCAGCUUGUUGGUGGGGUAGUGGCUUACCAAGGCUUUGACGGGUAGCCGGCCUGAGAGGGUGACCGGCCACAUUGGGACUGAGAUACGGCCAAGACGACUACGGGAGGCAGCAGUGGGGAAUAUUGCACAAUGGGCGGAAGCAUGAUGAAGCAACGCCGCGUGCGGGAUGACGGCCUUCGGGGUGUAAACCGCUUUCGCCUGUGACGAAGCGUGAGUGACGGGAAUGGGUAAAGAAGCACCGGCUAACUACG
This 466-nucleotide ribosomal RNA is filed under the name uncultured bacterium. RNAcentral describes it as "partial 16S ribosomal RNA". It matches the Rfam family "Bacterial small subunit ribosomal RNA", at positions 28 to 505 of the family's 1533-position model. The record is from RNAcentral.